CUGGAGCUAGGACAGUCCAGAAAGUGAGGUUUGGGUUGGGCCUCAAUCCUGCCGAGGUGUUUGGGUGCCUACAGCUGUUCUGCGGCAGAGCUGGUCUCCAGGACCACUGACCCUAGGACCCAGCUUCCCUUCCCUCCAACAGCAGGUCUGGCUACACCUCUGGCCGAGAGCAAGAAAUCCAAGCACCAGGGAAGACGUCAGCUUCACAGACUAGAGACUUAAUGUAGUGAGAAGAGUCCGUCCCAGCAGGUUGAGCCAAACUGCCUGGCGACCUGGCCUUGGCUGAAAGCAGAACACGUCUGGGUGACAAGUCCAUGGGUCUUCCCUCGAUUUCCAUCAAGCUUGACCUAAGGGGUGAAGGGCCCUCCGCUGGACCCUCUGAAGUUUCACUGAGACAAUCUGAUAACAGCCUUCCUUGGUGAAUGACAUUCCAGACAGAAGAUCCCACGUGACUGAGCUCCUCUUUUGUGGAUCUGGCCUUAGGUCUAGCCAGCUCCCGCUCCACUUUGGAGCCUCAUCUCCUUUCUGGAAACGCGCUGUGCCUGCCCUCCUGUCUCGCCUGCCACGUUGCCGUAUUGGAAAGGCCUUCCAAGUCAGUCCUCCCUAUUAUCCCACCGCUGUGGCCUGGAGUCCCAUCUGUGGACUAGCCAGACUCCUAGUCACAUAUUUGUCGUCACAUGCACUGGCUCGAGGCUUUCCAUGGUCCCCAGGGCUUGCUCAGCAAAGAUGACACUUGAUAAAUCACUGCAGCGUGAUAAUGAGGUCAUUGAUUCCCCUCACGGACGAAGGCCCAAGCACUCACUGUGUGCUCAGACAUCGCUCCUGGCCUGGCCAGUGUCUGGAACGCGCCUUGGUUGGCUCUUCAAGGCGCUGAGCUCACUCAUCUGGCAUCCCCCCGCUUCACGCUGCCCGGAGGACUCUCGUCCUGUUUGGAAGUGGUGAAUGCCAUGGUUGCUGGUUUGAUUUUUAAUUACAUUCCUCUGACUAACUCAACCUUAAGCUGCCUUAUCAUACUAAAUAUCAAAUGUGCUUAA
Non-coding RNA from Ictidomys tridecemlineatus (thirteen-lined ground squirrel), 1034 nucleotides. NCBI's taxonomy places the organism in Eukaryota, Metazoa, Chordata, Mammalia, Rodentia, Sciuridae. The record is from RefSeq and is a predicted model, not a curated record.